This 469-nucleotide ribosomal RNA is filed under the name uncultured bacterium. Its description in RNAcentral is "partial 16S ribosomal RNA". It matches the Rfam family "Bacterial small subunit ribosomal RNA", at positions 28 to 506 of the family's 1533-position model. The record is from RNAcentral.
GACGAACGCUGGCGGCGUGCUUAACACAUGCAAGUCGAACGGUGAAGGAGGGCGCUUGCUGCGUCCGGAUGAGUGGAGAACGGGUGUGAAACACGUGUGACCUCUGCUUCGCACUGUGGGAUCAGCGUUGAACACGACGUCUUAUAGCGGAUAAGCUGCGGGUGCGUGUUGUGUGCGCGUGGAAAGCAGUGGGGUUCGGGGUGAGCGCGCGGCCUAUCCGCUUGUUGGUGAGGUUACGGCUCACCAGGGCGGCGACGGGUAGCCGGCCUGAGAGGGUGACCGGCCACACGGGGACUGGGACACGGCCCAGACUCCUACGGGAGGCAGCAGUGGGGAAUAUGGCACAAUGGGCGCAAGCCUGAGGCAGCAACGCCGCGUGGGGGACGACGGCCUUCGGGUGGUAAACCUCUUUGAGCAGGAAAGAGGCUAAGGUGACGGUACCUGCAGAGAAAGCACCGGCUAACUACGU